GACGUUUGUUGGGGUUUUUCGGAAAGUCCGGGGCUUAACCCCGGAUCUGCGGGGGGUACGGGCAGACUAGAAUGCAGUAGGGGAGACUGGAAUUCCUGGUGUAGCGGUGGAAUGCGCAGAUAUCAGGAGGAACACCGAUGGCGAAGGCAGGUCUCUGGGCUGUAACUGACGCUGAGGAGCGAAAGCAUGGGGAGCGAACAGGAUUAGAUACCCUGGUAGUCCAUGCCGUAAACGUUGGGCACUAGGUGUGGGGACCAUUCCACGGUUUCCGCGCCGCAGCUAACGCAUUAAGUGCCCCGCCUGGGGAGUACGGCCGCAAGGCUAAAACUCAAAGGAAUUGACGGGGGCCCGCACAAGCGGCGGAGCAUGCGGAUUAAUUCGAUGCAACGCGAAGAACCUUACCAAGGCUUGACAUGUUCUCGAUCGCCGUAGAGAUACGGUUUCCCCUUUGGGGCGGGUUCACAGGUGGUGCAUGGUUGUCGUCAGCUCGUGUCGUGAGAUGUUGGGUUAAGUCCCGCAACGAGCGCAACCCUCGUUCCAUGUUGCCAGCACGUAAUGGUGGGGACUCAUGGGAGACUGCCGGGGUCAACUCGGAGGAAGGUGAGGACGACGUCAAAUCAUCAUGCCCCUUAUGUCUUGGGCUUCACGCAUGCUACAAUGGCCGGUACAAUGGGUUGCGAUACUGUGAGGUGGAGCUAAUCCCAAAAAGCCGGUCUCAGUUCGGAUUGGGGUCUGCAACUCGACC
This 745-nucleotide ribosomal RNA is filed under the name bacterium Rsw. Its description in RNAcentral is "bacterial SSU rRNA". It matches the Rfam family "Bacterial small subunit ribosomal RNA", at positions 575 to 1317 of the family's 1533-position model. The record is from RNAcentral.